AUGGUCCUUUAUGAGGUCUACAGUGAUCCUCUCUCUCUCUCUCCCUUCACGCCAUGGUCCUUUAUGAGGUCUACAGUGAUCCUCUCUCUCUCUCUCUCUCUCCCUUCACACCAUGGUCCUUUAUGAGGUCUACAGUGAUCCUCUCUCUCUCUCUCUCUCUCUCUCUCCCUUCACACCAUGGUCCUUUAUGAGGUCUACAGUGAUUCUCUCUCUCUCUCUCUCUCUCUCUCCCUUCACACCAUGGUCCUUUAUGAGGUCUACAGUGAUCCUCUCUCUCUCUCUCUCUCCCUUCACACCAUGGUCCUUUAUGAGGUCUACAGUGAUUCGCUCUGUCUGUCUGUCUGUCUGUCUGUCUGUCUGUCUGUCUGUCUGUCUGUCUGUCUGUCUGUCUGUCUGUCUGUCUGUCUGUCUGUCUGUCUGUCUGUCUGUCUGUCUCCCUCCACACACCAUGGUCUCCUUAUGAGGUCUACAGUGAUAAUGAGUCUCUCUCUCUCUCUCUGUCCUAUAGGAGCUCAGACUCUGACGGAGCGUUCGAGACCCCAGAGUCGACCACCCCUGUCAAGUCCCCCACGGAGACAGACCCUCAUACCCAGCCGCUGACCUCGGAAGACACCGGUCUGGGCUGUGACUCUGAGGUAGACGGUGAACCCGGGUCAGAGGCUAAAGGUCACCAUGGUAGCUCCCUGUCCAUAGUCUUUGACGAGGACAAGCCCAUCGCUGCUAGCGGAGCUUAUAACCUAGAGCAGCUCAUAGCUGCAGCUGCAGCUGCAGAGGCCCAGAGCCGAUCAACUCUAACCCGCUCUCUGAGCCUCCAGGCUGGGGAACUAGACGGCACCGGCCCCUUAGACGGCGGAGGAUUCUCCAUCUCAAUCGGAGACUCCUGUCCCUUAGCUGAGGCCUUUAGUGUCGACGGUGGUACUGAGAGUGCUCCAGGGACUCUCCGUAGACCCUCCAAGAAGGGGCCUCUCCGCCCCGGCGGCUCCCUGAAAAAGAAGCCUCUCCCCAGGCAGAGCUCUAACCUAGAGAGCCCCCAACCUCCGGCCUCCGGAACAACAGUGGAACAGCUGAAGAAGAAUGCCGAGCCCACCAGAGCAGCCGGCCCCCUAUUGGCCUCUGAGGAUCCGGAAGUAGGAGGAACCACGGUAGACUCUGCCCCUGGUCCUACCUCGGCCACGCCCAGUCCAGGAGGCACGUUCUGCAGAACCAGGAAGUCAUAUGUGGAAAGCUCCGCCUCGCUCACUGAAGAGACCAAUCACACUAGCCCAGAGACAGAUAACCAACUAAUCCUGGCCCCUACUUCUAUUCUGACCCCGACCCCAGCUAUCUCUAUACCCAACCGACAGGAGGACAGCCCCACUUCCGUGCCGGAGGCCCCCCCAGGCAGCGAAGGCUCUCCCCCCAGUGGGACCUACAAAUGGAACCCAGACAACUUUGAAGACAUCGACCCGUUUAACAACGGAGGGAGUAAAGUCGCUAACUCUCCGCCGUUGGGUAGGAAAGGAGGCGUGCUGUCCGUUGCCCCUGUCUCUAACCCCCCAGAGCGCCCCAACGCCGAUCCGGCUCUUCCCUCAACCAACCCCCCUAUUGGAACCUCAGGGGCAGUCAGACUGGAGUUUGACUAUUCUGAGGAGACCCUCGAGGAGCCUCCCAAGGCCUACUCUCCACCACCCAAGAAGCUGGGCAAAAAAACAGGCUCCAAGGUUAGUCUGUCAUAGCGUUGCAAAAUUCUGUUAACUUUCCCCAAAUUCCCUGAUCUUCCAGAAAUCCCAGUAGGAUUCCCGGAGUUUUACAACUCUAGUCUGUCGUCGUGUUUAGUGCUUUCCUUGGUUAGUCCGUCUUUAUGUUUUAUCUGUAUGUUUUAUGUUUGACUUUUAUUUUACUGAUUUAUAUUGUUGACUACGUCAAGUUACUUUGAAGUGUUUUGUAAAGCGUUUAAAAUGAAUAAACUUGUAUCAUUAUUAAUAUUAUGUAUUAUUAUGUAUUAUU
Molecule: long non-coding RNA, 1986 nt
Filed under: Salmo trutta (river trout)
Lineage: Eukaryota; Metazoa; Chordata; Actinopteri; Salmoniformes; Salmonidae
Description: lncRNA (ENSSTUG00000049705.1)
Source: RNAcentral